Long non-coding RNA from Drosophila elegans, 742 nucleotides. RefSeq lists it as uncharacterized. The record is from RefSeq and is a predicted model, not a curated record. NCBI's taxonomy places the organism in Eukaryota, Metazoa, Arthropoda, Insecta, Diptera, Drosophilidae. The transcript has 2 exons.
GAUCAGGAAUCUUCUGUAUAGCCAAGACUCUUUCUGGAUCCAUUUGCAGCUUUCCACCCCCAAUGAUAAACCCAAGGCAUUGUGCUACCAAACGAAGAUAUCGCAGAUGCGUCUGGAAGUCAGGAGCUAUCACCAGAAGAUCGUCCAGAUAGACAAAUACGUUUGAUCGUAGUUGUGUCGGAAUGACUUGGUCCAUCAAUCGACAUAAUCUUUGGGCCGCAUUGCAGAGGCCGAAAGGCAUCAUCACGAAUUGGUAAAGUGGUCGUCCGGCUACUGUGAAAGCGGUAUACUUCCGGCUUUCCGGUUCCAAUUUUAUUUGCCAGAACGCAAAUUUAAGAUCGACGCUAGAUAUAUAAUAUGUCUGGUCGAUCCUAGACAAUAUGCCUUCGAUACUCGGGAGAGGGUAGGCGUCCUUUACGGUGAGCUGGUUAAGUUUCCGCGCGUCUAAGCAGAAUCUGUUUUUAUCUGGAUUUCGCACGACCGUUGUUCUAUUGCUCCACGGACUAUCACUAACCUCUAUAACCCCUAGCUCUAGCAUUUUGUCUACUUCUUUCCAGACCACUUCCUGCAUCGCUGGUGAUAGCGGGUAACAACGAUCCUUAAACGGUACUGCGCCCUCCACCAGCUGGAUCUGGUGCUGUUCUGCUGCAGUCGUUCCUAGCCCGGCUUCUUCGUAAGUCAAAAAUUCCUUCUUCACGUUCUCCAACUCCUCAGCUUCAUUCAUUCCCAGGUCCCAAGCUUC